This is a long non-coding RNA of Schistocerca piceifrons (Central American locust), 674 nucleotides long. RefSeq lists it as uncharacterized. The transcript is spliced from 3 exons. The record is from RefSeq and is a predicted model, not a curated record. Lineage: Eukaryota; Metazoa; Arthropoda; Insecta; Orthoptera; Acrididae.
AGGGCGACUAUAUUGGUCCAGGGCAGCAGGUAUUCUGCUCGCUAACAAAACAGCCUUCAUGGCCAAGUACUACUCAGGCCUGGUGACUAGAAAGGAGCUGAAUUUGGCGCAGAGUAGCAACCAUUCUGCUCACUAGAUAAAACAGUCUUCAAACUCGAGCGCAAGAGAUGGGACUGCCUACUUGGCGGCGAGGAGCAUUUUGGUCCAGAACAGCAACUACCCUUCUAGCUAGACAAAUUGGCCUUCGGUGUCUACUACUACUCAGAAAUGUUGGCCGGGAAGGAGCUAAUUUUACCUUGCAGAAAUCAGCAUUCCGCACACCAUGCAGAACGGCCUUCAGCCUCGAGAACAAGGAGAAUGGUGUGCUCGGUUGUCUUGGACAGGCCUAAUGUCCCCUGUGACAGGUCAGCCAGCAGCGACAAAGUCAUUAUUAUCGGGGUGCACACCCACCUUCCAGGCAACGGGGACAGCUCAACACCGACGAUGUUUUCUUUUUCUAUUGUGGUGGGCAUCUGACUACUGUAAGCGAAGCCAACACACUAGCAGCACCAUGUGCCGUCGUCAUGGACGCUGACAAGACACCACCUAUUGGCUGGAGACGCUGUGGUACUGCUGCUAUCACAACAGAAGUGUUAUGACAUUGUGAGGCUAACAUCAGUACAGUCAGAAAUGUU